Molecule: ribosomal RNA, 244 nt
Filed under: uncultured bacterium
Lineage: Bacteria
Description: partial 16S ribosomal RNA
Rfam family: Bacterial small subunit ribosomal RNA
Source: RNAcentral
UGGGUCCCACAGGGGGCAGCAGUGGGGAAUAUUGCGCAAUGGGCGAAAGCCUGACGCAGCGACGCCGCGUGAGGGAUGAAGGUCUUCGGAUCGUAAACCUCUGUCAGCAGGGAAGAACGGUCACUGUGCUAAUCAGCAGUGAGUUGACGGUACCUGCAGAGGAAGCACCGGCUAACUCCGUGCCAGUAGCCGCGGUAAUACGGAGGGUGCGAGCGUUGAUCGGAAUUACUGGGCGUAAAGCGCU